Molecule: long non-coding RNA, 1455 nt
Organism: Oreochromis niloticus (Nile tilapia)
Lineage: Eukaryota; Metazoa; Chordata; Actinopteri; Cichliformes; Cichlidae
Exons: 6
Source: RefSeq, a predicted model, not a curated record
AAAAUACAAAGAGCAGGAUAAGCUGGGUGAAGGAGGCUUUGGGACUGUCUUCUUUGGAAAACGCAGAGAAGACAAUUUCCCAGUGGUGAUUAAGCAUGUUGCUCAUGUUUUAGUCAGCUACCAACCAGUGCUUCUUAAUGGUAAAAUGACCAAGAUUCCCAAGGAGGUGGCAUUGCUAAUAAAAGUGGGGGCAGGACCAGAGGCUACAAGCAGCAAUGUGACCCCCAUUUUAAUCGACUGGUAUGACUUGGAAGACGAACUCAUUAUGGUCUUUGAAAGGCCAAAGAAAACAUAGACUUGGAAGCCUACCUGGCAAACAGAAGAACCUUUGUGCACGAGAGGGAGGUUAAGGUCAUAAUGAGACAGCUGGUACAUGCAGCCGCUGAAAUGCAAUCCAAGGGUGUCUUCCAUCGAGACAUUAAGCCAGACAAUAUUGUGUGUGACACAUCGCCUGAUCAUCCAGCAUUUCAAUGUGUCAGAUUCAUCGAUUUUGGCAUUGGAGUCACUUUUACACCAGAAGCAAUCACACGAAGAAAUGGGACCAAAUCACCUGCUCCAAACUGGCAGGACUUUAAUGCCACCACAGCAGACUGCGUCACAGUUUUGCAGCUGGGUACGGUGAUGGAUUGGCUGGUACGUCACAUCAUCCCUGAUGACAACAACACAUCUGAGAUGCGCACUGACAUUUCAGAGGAUUGCAAGUGUUUUCUGUUGGGUUGUUACUGUCAGAGCCAUGAAGACCGUCUCACCCUAGAGGAAGUUCAGAAUCAUCCCUGGCUCAAAUGACGUACUGAUGCCAAGUAAAACAGGGUUACAGAGCAGCAGCUCUAACAAAGAAGUAUUCGGUCACAUUCAAAAGCUAUGGCACAUAGCUGUCCAUGUUUUUAUCAUUGCUAUCAUUUUUACAGGGCCCGCCCCUCUGGAAGCACCCCACAAGAGCAAGUGGACCAUGAGAUCGCAGUGGAACUUCCACCCGGUCUUUAGUCUUGUUGCCAUUGUAUUUUCCAUACAUUUCCCACCCACCCCCAGCAAUCCGUGGAAAGGGGAUCUCUCUCUGAAUUGCCUUUCCCGAGGUUUCUUCUCAAGUUUUUGAGGAGUUUUUCCUCGUCUUCUUAGAGAGCUUGUGCUGGGUUAAAAACUGUUGCUACUAUCAGCCUGAGUUAUGAAUACAGUUGUGGCCUAAUGUUUUGUCAGUGGUACAAAAUUUGCUUUUGCGCACUUUGCCACUUCAGUCUGUAUUUAGAGCCACAACUGUAUACACAACAGACCGAACAUGCUCAGCUUUGCCAAAGCUAGCAGGAAUUGGAGUUUAAUUUGAUCAAUUAAUUAUUUAUGAAUCAAUUUAACAAACAAAUGGGCAAAUGUAAAGAAAUGUAUCAAUCAGGGAAUUAGUAGCAACAUUAAUUGGACAAUCUAAAUUUAUUGGUUGAUUAUUAAAUGAAUCUGGAUAACUCA